Molecule: small nucleolar RNA, 77 nt
Organism: Esox lucius (northern pike)
Lineage: Eukaryota; Metazoa; Chordata; Actinopteri; Esociformes; Esocidae
Source: Ensembl
UAGCAAUGAUGUUUGAAUUUCUUCACCUGAAUCCCCUGUGUGGAUCAACACAUACGAGCUUUUUAAAUCUGAGCAAA